RNAcentral lists this long non-coding RNA (7257 nucleotides) under Solanum tuberosum (potato). RNAcentral describes it as "long non-coding RNA (STUB_LNC004281)". Lineage: Eukaryota; Viridiplantae; Streptophyta; Magnoliopsida; Solanales; Solanaceae. The record is from RNAcentral.
UUGAGUCUCUCAAAUUUCUUUUCUCCAAAGACUUUAACAAUUUAUUUCAUUUGAGGUAUGUUGCUAUCUCAGGUGACUUUAAGGCCCUCCCUCCUACCUUUGGUAAAUUCUGGAAUUUACAAACUCUUAUACUUAAUACAAGUACCUCAGAGCCCACUCUUGACGUAAAAGCAGACAUAUGGAACAUGUUACAGUUGAGGCAUCUGCACACCAGCAUACCUGCAAAAUUGCCGUCCCCUACUAUCACCACAGGUAAACCUUCUUGCCUGCAAACUCUUUCUUUAGUUGCACCAGAAAGUUGCAAGAAAGAUGUACUGGCAAAGGCGUGUCAUCUAAAAAAAUUGAGCAUUCGAGGGCAAAUGGCGGCCUUUCUUGAAUCCAGGGGUGGAAUCAGCAAUCUUGAAGAGCUAAAGUGCCUGGAACAUUUGAAACUGUUGAAUGAUGUUCUUUACAUGAAUAAAACAGUUCAACUUCCUGCAGCAUUCUUCAGACUUGUACGUACAGUAAAGAAGUUAACUUUGGCAAACACAAGGUUUCAAUGGAGUGAGGCGGAAAAAUUAGCGCAACUGGAAUCCCUUGAGGUUCUAAAGUUGAAAGAAAAUGCAUUCAUGGGUGAUACUUGGAAGCCGGAGGUAGGAGGUUUUAGUAAACUCCGAGUAUUGUGGAUCGAGAGAGCAGAAUUAGAAACUUGGGAGGUGUCGAAUCUUAACUACCCCAUCCUUAGGAACCUUAUCCUUGUCUCUUGUGAUAAGCUCAACGCUGUACCAGUUGAGCUGGCUGGUAUACCUAAUUUUCGCGAGAUGAAGUUGGAGAACACAAUCAAAGCAGUCAAAUCUGCAAAAGAUAUACUGGAACUUAAGAAAUCUCAAGAAAUAAUAUUCAAGCUCAGCAUAUUCCCUCCUGAAUCUGAAUCCAAGGCCACACAGUAAAGUUGAAAGGUUAGUCAAAUUCAUUUGUAUUAUAGUAUGGCUAUAUGAUCUUUUGUUUCCAUUUGGCAUACAUUUUCCAUGACUCCAUCUAUCUCUAUACAUAUCUCAUUUAGUAGCCGUAAAACUAUAUCUUUUGUAAUAAUUUCAUUCUUCUAUUAUACAUAACAAUUUGUAGAACACUAAUUCCUUUCCUUAAAUUUUGAAUGCACUCUGCUCUUCUUUUUAUCUGCAACACUUAUCCUCUCUUUGUUUCCCUGUUGUUCUUGAACCAAUUUUCCUCCAUUCUGCAGUAGAGCAUCGGGAUUUCGAUCUGGGGUCAUGUGUAUGAUGUCGCGGCAUUUCAUGUUUUCUGUCGUCCAGUCAUCUGAUAAAAUUGUUCCAAUAAAGAAAACAUGUUUGCCUUUUGUGAUUUGUAAUAUGUUAAAUAAAUGGAGUACGUACUCCCUGGAGUUGUUGUUUUUUUCGAGUUUCUGAUCAGUUGGAGUGUUUCUUUUUUCAAUCGUAAGCAUGUUUGCUUCUUUCACUAUUCUGUUGUAUUUGAUUUGUUUCAGUGUAAAACAUACAGUUGCUUUGCCCCCAAGGCCUAGCUCAAGUGGCAAAAGGUGGAGGAUUUGUCGCUUAGGUUGCAGGUUCAAGCCCCACACCAUGCAAAGCGAAGCCCGGUAUUUAAGUGGAGAAGGGUAGAGGGGCGGGCCCAUUAUCCACCGAGUUUAGAAGGCUGUGAUUGGUCCAAAGGGCGGGUCACAGACGGAUUUCUCAGUUAUCAAAAAAAAAAAACAUACAGUUUCUUUUAUCUUUCAAUAAAAUGUUGUGUGUUUUGUUUACAACUUGGAAUCUUUCAGAUGAAUUCUAGUUAUUUCUGAAUUGGAAGGUUACAAGUUCAAAAUGCAAAUGUGCUUUAUGAUCUUUCCGUAAGAUUAGUUCAGACAAGAAAUAUUCAAAUUAUCCUCUAAUAUUCCACUUAGUGAAACUUGCUCUACUUCUAUCAGUUGCCACUGCAUUCAUUGAAAGAGCUUUUUCGACAAUAAAGUUUAUCAAGAAUGACUUGCGGAGUCAAAUUAGUGAUGAAUUUUCUAGUGGUUGGUUGAUGCCUCAUUUAGAAAACAACGUGUUUGAUAGAAUUAGUAAUAAGACAUUUAAAGUUAUGAAACCUCAUAGAAUACAAUUUUAUAAUACACGUAGGACACCACAUAGGAUACACAAUUGUCAUGUAGGACGUCACUUAGGACAAAUGUGUCUAUUUGUUCAAUUUUAUACAAGUUUAAGUGUCUACUUGUGCAUACCCAAAGUUAAAAGGCACGUUUAUGUAUUAUGAUAUUGAUUGUUUUCUCCAAGAUUUUUCACUUUGUCACAAAUCCCUUUGGUUUCAGCUGCAAGAGCCUUAAUUGUAGUGAUAUGACACACAUCAAAUAAUCUAAUUCCAACUUUAUUGUUAUCCCGUUGCAGCUUUGCCUGUACCAGAAACUUAUCAAUCAAAUAUUUAGCUUCAUCAUACAUAUCUUUUAUCGCCCUUUAUAUAAGCCAUUGGUCACCUCUAGCCUCCAGGCAUCUCAGAGAACUUCCCGUGGGACUUUGUCAUAGGUCUUUUCAUGGUUAAUGAACUCCAUAUGUAAGUCUCUCUUCUAAUUUCUUGGUAUUUCUCCACAAGUCUCCUCACAAGAUGAAUCAUGACUUUUGUAGUCGAUCACCCAGUCAUAAAUUCAAAUUGAUUCUAGUAAAUGGACACACCCCUCUCUCAACUCCAUCACUUUCUCCCAAACUUUCAUGACAUGGCUUAGCAACUUGGUAACCCUGUAAUUGUUACAAUUUUGGAUGUCAUGACUCCGGUAACUCUUCCCCUGCUCAUCCUGAUAAUAGUGCGUUUAACCUCAUCAACCUUAAUAUACCUACAUUAUUCAUAAUCCCAAUGUCACUCAGAGUGUUCCAAAUCACCCAGCAUAAUAUUUUUGUCUCCUUCUUUGUUCAAAAAUUUAUUGAAGUAAGCUUGUCAUUUUUAUUUAAUGAGAGUCUCUUCCGUUAACACCUUGACUUCCUUAUUUUUUAUCUAAGUCCUGAACUUUCCUCUUUCUCUCAUUUGCAGUUUUUUCUCUGCGUCUUUGUCCCUUAGCUAAGUAUACAAUCAUUCAAAGACGAGCGUCUUUGCUAUUGCAAUCGCUCUAACUUAAUCUUUGUCUUCGCCGCUUUAUAAAUUUCCUUAUGGGAUUUUGAGAAUAUACCCACUAAAAAUAUCUCAUGGUCCUGAUAAGGGGUGUACAAAACCGAACCGAAAACCGAAUCAAACCGCAAACCGAGUCAACUCAAAAAAAAAAACCUGACUAGUGGUUUGGUUUGACUUGGUUUGGUAUUGGAAAAAAAACCCGACUAUAUUUGGGUUGGUUUGGUUUUAACUAAAAAAACCAACCCGAGACCAAACCAACCCGACAUUAUAUAUGUAAUUUUAAAAUUUUAUUUAUACAUAAAAAUAUUUACUUUGAUAUAAUUUUAAAAUAUCUCUUAUACUAUUUCAUAGUUUUUAUCUUUUAAUAUAUUAUUUCAAGUUUAAAACUUAGAAUUCAGAAUGGUCCAAUAAAUAUUAUAGUUCAUAAAUGUUGAUAAUUACUGUAUAAUAAAACUUAAAUCAAAAUCAAAUUAAUACUAAUGCAAAAAGAAAAUCAUUUCAACACUAAGAAUGACAAUAAUAUUGAAUAUUUGUUCUUUAGUUUUACAUUGGUUUAGACAAUUAAAAUACAUAAUCUAAUUUUAAUUUUCCUUAAAUAUUUAGUAAUGUAACUAAUACUUAUUAAACUUAUUUUAGCAUGAUUUAGUACUUUUAAAUUAUGAUCAUUUUCAUUAUGACUUUACAAUAUUUAUUUUAUAUGAUGAUUUCAUUAUUAUUUUUUAUUGAAUAUUUUUGUGUCAUCAGUACUAAUCUCAUAUUUUGUGUUAUUUUUUUAAGUAAACACCUUAGAUAAUUGUAUUUUGGUUGGAUUAAAGAAAUAUUUGGAGCACAAGUUAAUUCUAUGCAAACAUUACCGAAAAAAUCCGAGGUUUAUUAGUUUGGUUUGAUUUAUAAAUUUAAAAAUUCGACACAAUGGUUUGGUUUGGUAUUUGAAAAAUCCGAACCAACCCGAGGUUGAAAAACCCGAAAAAUCCUAAUUUUAUUAGUUUGGUUUGGUUUAUAAAUUUAAAAUUUUUACACAAAUGGUUUGGUUUGAUAUUUGAAAAACCCGAACCAACCCGGUUAUGUACACUCCUAGUCCUGAUAAUGAACAAGCGUCCUAAGUAAGUUUGUCAAAAAUGAACCCAAACAUAGAUAACCCGCCUAGAAUUUUAAGGGUUGGGCUCAAGAUAAUUUGAAUUGGGUUCAAUCUCAUCCCAUUCAAGCCUAACCCAUUUUAUGAGAAUCCUCAAUUGAGCCCAAUUCAAUCUUUAAUUUCAACUCGUUUUAAAACUCUUUACUAAGAUAUGUUCCUAUAUUAAAGGUAUGAAUUAUUAUCUAUUUAAUAUCUUUUAGGAUUUAUCUAUCCAUUUGUUACUUUUUUUAAAAACAAAUCUUGAGCUAAAAUUCGAAUUGUGAUUAUAAAAGUUAAAUAUCACUAUGUUAAAAUUAUUGAGAUUAAUCGGGUCAAAUUGGGCGGGUCAAGACCCAACCCGAUUUCUAUUUCAACCCAUUUUAAUAUCUCCAAUUUCAACUCAACCUGCCCAUUUGACAUCCCUAGUCCUAAGUCAUCGGAUUGAUGAUGGAAUAGAAGAGAGAUUGAGUUUUUUUUUAUUCAUUUGGAUCGGAUUUGGAGAGGUAAAAAAUAGUGAGGUAAUUAUUUAAAAUCACGAGAUGCUUUAGAAUUUUAAAAACAUUUUAGGAUGACUUGGGCACAAGUUAUAGUAAUAAAUUGCAAAUAAUAAUGCCAUUUAUAAUUAAUAUAUAUAACAAUCAAGACUUGGAUAAAUUAUUAAGCCAAUGUCAUUUUUUAAUCAAGACUAAUUAUUGUAAAUUAGAUAUAAGAAAGACUUGAUUUAACAAUGUCUACUUAGUUAACCUCCUCCUCUUCAUUGCUAAAAAUAUCCUCUUCCUCUCGCAAAAUUUAGAAAGAGAUCGAUUGAUGAAUCGAUUCUAUGGCAGAUGCAGCGGUGAACUUUUUCGUGGAGAACUUGUUGCAGCUGUUAAGUGAAAAUGUGGUGUUAAUUGAAGGCGUAGAGGAUGAAUUCAAAAAUUUGUUGGAUCAAGUGCAACGCCUGAAAGCAUUCGUUGACGAUGCUGCUAAAUUCCAGAGCGAUAGCAGUUUAUGGGAUGAAUUGGUGAAGGAUAUUCAAAAAAUGAUACACAAACAAAAAAUACUCCCUUUGUCCCAUUUUAUGUGAGUUAGUUUGAUUCGAUACGGAGUUUAAGAAAGAAAUGAAGACUUUUAAAACUUGUGAUCUAAAAUAAAUGAUAGAAAUAUGUGUAGUUAUAAAUUAUUUCAUUAAGGAUAAAAUGAACAUUUUAAAACUAAAUUAUUACUUAAUAUAGAAAGUAAGUCAUACUGAUCGAGGGAGUAACAAAUAAAAAUAAAUAUAAAAUGCUUCAUGAAUUGUCUUUUUAGUUUAUGUUUUAGCUCUCACACACUACAAAGAGUUAAGAAAUCCUUUUGCAGUCAUGUUUGCAAAGAGUUAUAUUUAUGCUCAUGGUGGCAUUGCAUGAACUUUAGAAUUUUUAUAGUUAUAAUUGCAAAAAUUAUCCGCACUGUUUUUUAAUGCAUUCUGUUUGAUUAUUAUGUUAAAAAGCGUCCUCCCUUGGAGAAUGAUGAAGUGGUCGGGUUUGAUGUGGAAGCUAACAAUAUGAUCAAGCGACUUGUUGAAGGACCGGAAGAAUCACUGGAUAUUAUCCCAGUGGUGGGUAUGCCCGGACUUGGAAAAACUAUACUGGCAAGAAAAAUCUAUAAUGAUCCUAAGCUUUCAUAUGAAUUUCCCAGCAUCCUUUGGGUUAAUGUCGGUAGGGAAUACAAAAUAAAGGAUAUUUAUCUUAGGAUUCUCAAAUUCUUCACAAAACGCAUAGAAGAUAAUCUCAAUGAUGAUGAGGACACAUUAGCUAAGGUGAUAAGUGGUUUAAUGAGUAAUCGAGGUAGAUGUCUCAUUAUUUUGGAUGAUGUGUGGGAAGCAGAAGUCAUUGAUUACGUAAUGAAAGUUUUCCCAGAAAACAAAAAGGGGCAUCGAAUCGUAAUGACCACACGUAAAGGAUAUGUAACUUCUUAUCUCAAUCCAGAAGCUCAUCAUCUGAAAUUCUUGAGUAUGAAAGAAAGUUUUGAAUUGUUGGUAAGGAGAGUUUUUUUCAAGGGAAGUUGCCCUGAUGAAUUAAAUGAAGUUGGAUAUAGAAUUGCAGAAAACUGUUGUGGAGUACCACUUGUUAUAGAGGGAGGUAAUUGCAGGAGCAUUAGCAGGUCGUUCGAAUAGAACUGAAUGGGAAGUAGUUCAUAGAAAUGUGGCACAUGCUUAUAGCGUGAAUAACAAUUGUGCAUUUGUAGAGGUGAGUUACGAUCAUUUACCUCAAGAAGUGCAGAUGUGCUUUUUAUAUUGUGGUAUCUUUCCUCGGGACUUUGAUAUCCCUGCUUGGAAAUUGAUUCGCAUGUGGAUUGCGGAAGGGUUAAUAAAGCCCCAGCAGUCAUACACUAUUGAGGAGAUCGCAGAGCAUCAUUUGAACGAUCUUGUUAAUAGGAAUUUAGUGAUAUUGUUGCAAAAGAAGUCUGAUGGUAAAAUAAAGACAUGUCGUCUUCACGGCAUGUUACACGAGUUUUGCAGAACAAAGGCUGCUAACAAAUGGCUUUUUCAAGAAAUAUGUACAGCAGCUGAUAACUCUCUUCCUUCUAUACAGGACUCAGAUACUUGCCGUCGAUUAUGUAUUCAACCAUCUACUCUGUGUGACUUUCUCUCCACAAAACCUUCUGCAGAACAUGUCAGGUCUUUCUACUGUUUUUCCUCAAAACAAAAAACAAACUGAAUUGUCUCGUAAUGAAAUCAAACUCCUUCACAAAGCAUUUCCACUUAUAAGGGUCUUGGAUGUUGAAUCUCUCAAAUUUAUUUUCUCCAAAGACUUUAACCAAUUAUUUCAUUUGAGGUAUAUUGCUAUCUCGGGUGACAAUAAAGCCCUUCCUCCGCCCUUUGGUAAUUUCUGGAAUUUACAAACUCUUAUACUUAAUACAAGUACCUCAGAGCCCACUCUUGACGUAAAGGCAGACAUAUGGAACAUGUUACAGUUGAGGCAUCUCCACACCAACAUACCUGCAAAAUUGCCAUCCCCGACUAUCACGACAGGUAAACCUUCUUGUCUACAAACUCUUUCUAUGGUUGCACCAGAAAGCUGCAAGAAAGAUGUGCU